AUUGAACGCUGGCGGCAGGCCUAACACAUGCAAGUCGAGCGGCAGCGGAAAGUAGCUUGCUACUUUGCCGGCGAGCGGCGGACGGGUGAGUAAUGUCUGGGAAACUGCCUGAUGGAGGGGGAUAACUACUGGAAACGGUAGCUAAUACCGCAUAACGUCGCAGGACCAAAGAGGGGGACCUUCGGGCCUCUUGCCAUCAGAUGUGCCCAGAUGGGAUUAGCUAGUAGGUGGGGUAACAGCUCACCUAGGCGACGAUCCCUAGCUGGUCUGAGAGGAUGACCAGCCACACUGGAACUGAGACACGGUCCAGACUCCUACGGGAGGCAGCAGUGGGGAAUAUUGCACAAUGGGCGCAAGCCUGAUGCAGCCAUGCCGCGUGUAUGAAGAAGGCCUUCGGGUUGUAAAGUACUUUCAGCGGGGAGGAAGGUGUUGAGGUUAAUAACCUCAGCAAUUGGCGUUACCCGCAGAAGAAGCACCGGCUAACUCCGUGCCAGCCGCCGCGGUAA
This 506-nucleotide ribosomal RNA is filed under the name uncultured bacterium. Its description in RNAcentral is "partial 16S ribosomal RNA". It matches the Rfam family "Bacterial small subunit ribosomal RNA", at positions 30 to 523 of the family's 1533-position model. The record is from RNAcentral.